GUGGGGCAAACCACAGUCGAUGACGUCGCGUGCGAGUCAUCGCUCAGCAACGUCGCGGCAGACUCCAAGUAUCGCGCCGCGCCGAACUUCGCGCUCUCUAUCCAUGCGGCGGGCGGAUUUCGCCGGUUCUAAUCGUGAAACUCGUGCUAACCGACGCGACGACGACGCGCAUUUGUUUGCAUUUACAGCGCUUCGUUUUUCUACAACGAUAAUGUCCCGAGGAUAAAUAAAUAAUUUUCCUUGACGAUCAAAGAUUGAGGUGGAAUUCUCCUCAAAGGAAAAAUUAUUUCAAUCGAUAAAUAUAAAUAUUAUCGUAAAUAAUUUUGAUUAUGUUUUUUUCGUAUUUUCCCGUCACCAGGUGUUAAUUAAUUACAAGUUGACUUAGUCAAGAGCAGUAAAAUUGAUGUCUACAAGUCAACAACGAUAGGAAAAGUACAAUCGACAUCAACGCAAAAGAGAUUGUAUCUGCAACUUAUACAAAGAAGGCACGGUUGGUUGAAAGUUUCAAUGUGUGUAGUUGAGCUGACGUCAUUAAAUUGCACAAUGCUCAGCUCUCGCUGUUCACGCUUGGAGCAUGUGAGAUAAAGUUCAAUUAGAUGUGUCAUUAAAUUUUUCAACUUACCGUUGAAUGACGCCAAUAAUAAAUAAGUUGGUGAAUG
Long non-coding RNA from Dalotia coriaria, 659 nucleotides. RefSeq lists it as uncharacterized. The transcript has 3 exons. Lineage: Eukaryota; Metazoa; Arthropoda; Insecta; Coleoptera; Staphylinidae. The record is from RefSeq and is a predicted model, not a curated record.